Molecule: transfer RNA, 75 nt
Filed under: Saprospiraceae bacterium
Lineage: Bacteria; Pseudomonadati; Bacteroidota; Saprospiria; Saprospirales; Saprospiraceae
Description: tRNA-Val
Rfam family: tRNA
About the family: Transfer RNA (tRNA) molecules are approximately 80 nucleotides in length. Their secondary structure includes four short double-helical elements and three loops (D, anti-codon, and T loops).
Source: RNAcentral
CGGAGCGUAGCUCAGUUGGUUUAGAGCACCGCCUUGACAGGGCGGGGGUCGCUGGUUCGAAUCCAGCCGUUUCGA